Molecule: ribosomal RNA, 955 nt
Filed under: Russula nigricans
Lineage: Eukaryota; Fungi; Basidiomycota; Agaricomycetes; Russulales; Russulaceae
Description: partial large subunit ribosomal RNA
Source: RNAcentral
UUGACCUCAAAUCGGGUGAGACUACCCGCUGAACUUAAGCAUAUCAAUAAGCGGAGGAAAAGAAACUAACAAGGAUUCCCCUAGUAACUGCGAGUGAAGCGGGAAAAGCUCAAAUUUAAAAUCUGGCGGCCUCUGGUCGUCCGAGUUGUAAUUUAGAGAAGCGUCUUCCGCGCUGGACCGUGCACAAGUCUCCUGGAAUGGAGCGUCAUAGAGGGUGAGAAUCCCGUCUUUGGCACGGAUGYACCAGGGCUUUYGUGAUGCGCUCUCGAAGAGUCGAGUUGUUUGGGAAUGCAGCUCAAAAUGGGUGGUGAACUCCAUCUAAAGCUAAAUAUUGGCGAGAGACCGAUAGCGAACAAGUACCGUGAGGGAAAGAUGAAAAGCACUUUGGAAAGAGAGUGAAACAGUACGUGAAAUUGUUGAAAGGGAAACGCUUGAAGUCAGUCGCGUCGACCGAGACUCAGCCUUGCCUCGGCUCGGUGUACUUCUCGGCCGACGGGUCAGCAUCAAUUUUGCCCCUCGGAUAAUGGCGAGAGAAAGGUGGCACCCUCACGGGUGUGUUAUAGUCUCCCGUCGGAUGCGAGGGUYGGGAUUGAGGAACUCGGCACGUACCGUGCUUAGGAUGUUGGCAUAAUGGCUUUAAACGACCCGUCUUGAAACACGGACCAAGGAGUCUAACAUGCCCGCGAGUGUUCGGGUGGAAAACCCGUGCGCGUAAUGAAAGUAAAAGUUGGGACCCCUGUCGUGGGGGGCACCGACGCCCGGACCAGACCUUCUGUGACGGAUCUGCGGUAGAGCGUGCAUGUUGGGACCCGAAAGAUGGUGAACUAUGCCUGAAUAGGGUGAAGCCAGAGGAAACUCUGGUGGAGGCUCGUAGCGAUUCUGACGUGCAAAUCGAUCGUCAAAUUUGGGUAUAGGGGCGAAAGACUAAUCGAACCAUCUAGUAGCUGGUUCCUGC